CUGAUUGUCCAAACGCAAUUCUUGUGCUUGUGUGAAACAGGAGUUGUGGAUGGACAUCACGC
Ictalurus punctatus (channel catfish) is the source of this 62-nucleotide non-coding RNA. The record is from Rfam. Lineage: Eukaryota; Metazoa; Chordata; Actinopteri; Siluriformes; Ictaluridae.